Molecule: ribosomal RNA, 253 nt
Filed under: uncultured bacterium
Lineage: Bacteria
Description: partial 16S ribosomal RNA
Rfam family: Bacterial small subunit ribosomal RNA
Source: RNAcentral
UACGAAGGGGGCUAGCGUUGCUCGGAAUCACUGGGCGUAAAGCGCACGUAGGCGGAUCUUUAAGUCAGGGGUGAAAUCCCAAGGCUCAACCUUGGAACUGCCUUUGAUACUGGGGAUCUCGAGUCCGGAAGAGGUUGGUGGAACUGCGAGUGUAGAGGUGAAAUUCGUAGAUAUUCGGAAGAACACCAGUGGCGAAGGCGACUCGCUGGACAAGUAUUGACGCUGAGGUGCGAAAGCGUGGGGAGCAAACAGG